Long non-coding RNA from Thunnus maccoyii (southern bluefin tuna), 441 nucleotides. RefSeq lists it as uncharacterized. The record is from RefSeq and is a predicted model, not a curated record. Lineage: Eukaryota; Metazoa; Chordata; Actinopteri; Scombriformes; Scombridae. The transcript has 3 exons.
UUGAAUUCAGCAUCCCACUAAUGUUAAUCCAUGCAGUGCUUAGUAAUUUGCAUUUUUGUGUUAACUAUAAUGUUUGGCAGAGAAAGAAAGUAUGAAAAGAAAUGGACAGGCAGAUAUUCAGUGUUUGUUUUUUUUGGCCAAAAAGACGCAGAGCCAGCCAGUGAAAAUGACUCAGAGCAUCAGGGAGCAACCAAGACCAGCGCAGCUCUAACCCCUCUUCACCAGCUGCAAACUUGGAGGACUCAGACUAGGAUGAAGACAGCCAGAGCGAGGUCAGUCCGGGUGACUUUCAUCCAUCGUCUCCAGAACCAUCAGAGUCAUCAAGCAGUUAUUCUGCUGCUGCAGGACCUGAUGACAUGCAGAGCAGAGGAUCCUGUGCAGCCGUCAGAGAACGAUCCUGCCCCGCUGGGACCUGAUGUUACGCAUGUUUUCAUCCUGUAA